GUCCCUAUAGCUCAAUGGACAGAGUAGACCCGUCCUAAGGGUAAGAUGGGGGUUCAAUUCCCUCUAGGGACA
This 72-nucleotide transfer RNA is filed under the name Candidatus Roizmanbacteria bacterium. RNAcentral describes it as "tRNA-Arg". It matches the Rfam family "tRNA". From Rfam's summary of the family: Transfer RNA (tRNA) molecules are approximately 80 nucleotides in length. The record is from RNAcentral. Lineage: Bacteria; Candidatus Roizmaniibacteriota.